UUCUUGUCUUUAAAGGGAUAUAUUGUUAUAAAUACGAUCUUUGGGUCGUGAAAAGCCACAUAACGCAGUAGCUCAUGCUAAUGCAUGUAUUUCAGCAACCAACAAAUUCCUUGUCAACUCAACUCACGCUCCAACAGCGAUCGGUUUCAUUCGCAUUGCCAACCCACUUUAAAACGGUUGAACACAUUCCGUGGCAGACAUACCUAGCUGGGGGUAGAGUGAUCAGCACAUAACUUAACAUUCCACCCCAGAGCGCACCGCGUUGUCACACGAAAGGACACCAAACGCUACACAGCUGUAUGCUGCAUUCCUAAGGUGGUGCAGUACAGCUGAGGAACGCAUACACAAUCGGUUCCCAAAACGGCCCGUAGCUGGGCUUUCCGCCGCGUCGCCGGUAGCCACCGGACAAGCACGAUUCGGACCGCAUGCCCUAGACAAUCCACGCUGAAACUCCCAAUCCCCGGCACAAACAUGGUCAACACGGACGGCAGAACACAGAAAACAUGUAAAAGCUCGUUCUUUGGGGGCAGCAAAAAGGGGGGGCCUCAUCUUGUGGUUUGUGCGUUGUGUUUUUUACCUUCACCUACGCAUGAUUGCCCGUAUUUGGAAGAAUAAAAUUUCGCCAUCGAGAAUUCAUAAUUUAUAAA
Molecule: long non-coding RNA, 647 nt
Organism: Anopheles arabiensis
Lineage: Eukaryota; Metazoa; Arthropoda; Insecta; Diptera; Culicidae
Exons: 2
Source: RefSeq, a predicted model, not a curated record